Molecule: long non-coding RNA, 396 nt
Organism: Oxyura jamaicensis (ruddy duck)
Lineage: Eukaryota; Metazoa; Chordata; Aves; Anseriformes; Anatidae
Exons: 4
Source: RefSeq, a predicted model, not a curated record
UGACCUCAAUGCUCAAAGAGCUCGUCUGCAGACAGAAUCAGGUGAAUAUUCACACCAGGUGGAGGAGAAAGAUGCUCUGAUUUCUCAGCUAUCAAGAGGCAAGCAGGCGUUCACCCAACAGAUUGAGGAACUCAAGAGGCACUUAGAAGAAGAGAUAAAGGCUAAGAGUGCCCUGGCCCACGCCUUACAGUCUGCUCGCCACGACUGUGACUUGCUCAGGGAACAAUAUGAGGAGGAGCAAGAAGCCAAGGGAGAACUGCAGCGUGCACUGUCCAAAGCCAACAGCGAAGUGGCCCAAUGGAGAACUAAAUAUGAGACUGAUGCUAUUCAGCGCACAGAGGAGCUGGAGGAGGCCAAGAAGAAGCUGGCACAGCGCCUGCAGGAUGCAGAGGAACA